Long non-coding RNA from Alosa sapidissima (American shad), 102 nucleotides. RefSeq lists it as uncharacterized. The transcript has 3 exons. NCBI's taxonomy places the organism in Eukaryota, Metazoa, Chordata, Actinopteri, Clupeiformes, Clupeidae. The record is from RefSeq and is a predicted model, not a curated record.
CGCAUCGUUGCAGUGAGACGUAAUUUUGUUGGAAGUUAAUUUAAAGUCAGUUGGAAAGACACUAUGCUUCCUAGGACAAGACUGUAGGCUACAGUAGUAUAC